UUAUUGUCAGGAUGUCUUGUCUAAGAUACAGUUACUCUGAUCCCUUCCUUCAUUAUUUACAAAUUGAGUAGACUUUUUAAAAAGAAAAAAACUGUCCCUGUGUUCUGCCUUUAGAAAACUACUGCACUCAAAUAUCACACUUAUGGACAACUUUUCAGAAUAUCAAAUUGAGAGAAAUUGAUGUGUGAAUCAAAUGACGGCUUAUGAUUUUUCUGUUGGCAUUGCACCAAGUAACCUGUGCCUACCUAGUUCCCACAAUAAAGAAUUAGCAAUGGAUAUCACCAAAAAGUCUUUUACCACAGAUUCCACAACCAACUUACAUUCUACUAAAAUACCUUAUUCAUGUGUAACUAAAGAUUAAAAAGUUCUUUUAUGAAUUACUUGGACACUUAACAGUUUAUCUGUUUGCAUAACCCCUCAUGUUCUAUGGGAUCCUACUUCCAGUAACUCAUUAUUUGGGAGUGACCUCUCUAAAAAGAUUUUUGUUGUAGAAAAUCGAACUGAAAACUGUCUCAAGAUAUUUGGGGAUGAUGACAAUAUAUUUUAUAAAGUUACUCAAAAAAAGGUCUGAUGACAUAAAGAUGCCUUCAGGUUCACUAAAAACUGUUCAUAAAUCUUGUGCUAUGAAAGAAGCCAUAGGUAACCACAGUGAGAAAACUUUCUCUAAUGAUAAUGCUGAAGAAUUAAAGAUUACAUCUGCUGCCCCUCAGAAGAAAGGUCCUACAGACAGAUAAAGACAAUGAGUCACAGAUGACUGAAAAUCCUAACUCUA
Molecule: long non-coding RNA, 772 nt
Filed under: Mus spicilegus (steppe mouse)
Lineage: Eukaryota; Metazoa; Chordata; Mammalia; Rodentia; Muridae
Description: lncRNA (ENSMSIG00000029573.1)
Source: RNAcentral